Molecule: long non-coding RNA, 1717 nt
Filed under: Setaria italica (foxtail millet)
Lineage: Eukaryota; Viridiplantae; Streptophyta; Magnoliopsida; Poales; Poaceae
Description: long non-coding RNA (SITA_LNC002903)
Source: RNAcentral
GGCUCUUGCUCUCUUGAAACUCUUAAUCUUCAAAGCUUUCGAACAGCGAUCCUUCUACUCGAAGCAAUCACCGGCACAAUCAUACAAGCAAACAAACACAUACAACUAAGAGUAGUACACCAAAACAAAAGACAGGCUUUAAAAGAGCGUAAUAAAAGAACAUGGCUCGAUUCUAGGAUUACGCAGACGCAGGAAUGCUUACAACGGAACUAUGCUUGAAAAGAUAAAGCUAUCGAGAGUUUUGAGUUACCAAAGGAAGAUAAGAGUUACAAGCUUCGUUUAUUUUAGUUGAGAAAAGCAAUGUAAAGAUAUUUCACAGAAAUAUCCUUAGUUAGAAUUAAUCAAGUCAUAUUUAUAUUUUCAUAAGAAAAGACGGUGUAAAGCUUAGUCCAAUUUUAUUUAUAAAUAUUUGAGUACAAUUUAUGCAAAUUAAACAUUUAAUUUAAAAAUAAGAUACAUGUAGCCAUCUAAGCGUAUAGCUUUACAUCUCGAGUUCAACUAAGUAGAUUAAAUUAAAAACACAUUUAUAUUUAUAUUAGCCAAAUUAAUAUUUAAUUAUGAAAACUCGAGAUAUAACCUAUACAUAUUUUAUUUAGAAAACAAAUUGAAUAAACAUUAAUCAAAUUGAAUUUAAUUUAUGAAACGCCGAGGUAUAACUCUAAGUGGCUUUUAAUUGGAAGAAUUAUUUAGAUAGGCAUUAAUCCAAUUAACUUUAGUUUAUGAAAAACUGAUAUAUAACCUAAUUGGAUUUUAUUUAGAAGAGGGUAUGAAGUAGGCAUUAAUCAAAUUAACAAUUAUUAUGAAAAAUGAUGUUUAACACUAAAUAGAUUUUAUUUAGAGAAAAACUCAUUUGUCAGAUAUUAAUCAAUUUUAAUAUAAAUUUUAUUUUCAAAAACAUGUGUGAAGGAAAACAUUACCACUAACGUGUAAUUUACAUUGUUAUGCAUCUAACGUAACUUGAACGAGGUUAAACGGAGCUCAAACGUAGAAUCUAUGGAUUAAACGACGAUGCAGGGGUCUAAACGUAAUUAACCGUAGACUUGGAGGGUUAGCUGAGAAGAUUGACAAGAUACAAGGAAUAGGGCUCACGAAAAGCUGAAAACUCGGGGUUAGAUCUGCAAAAGGUCAAGGUUUGGAUUAGAUUGAAAGGAUCUCAAAGUUACAGGGGGUUUUCUACAAGUUUUGCAAGACAAAGAAAUAGGAACAGAAAUUAAUAGAUUCUCUAGGGGCUAGAUCGAAAAGCAGCGCUUCAUCUUCUUCCUCACGCCAGGGGCAUGGCGCAGCUCCUGGCCGACGGCCUGCCGGCGUUCCGGCGCGGUGGAGGCCCAGGCGGGUGGUGCAGGCGGCGGUGGCCGAGCUAGGAGCCGACGGUGCGCGUGCAGGCAACGGCACAAGCGAGCAGGAGGUGACUCGCCAGGACGGACCAUACGGCGGCCAGUUACGGACGGUUCAAUUGCGUACAGAAACAGGAGAGAGAGAAAGAGGGGAUAGACGAAAAUGAAGUUCGAUCUCACGCAUGAAUAGCAAAAUGGAACGAUAUCGACGAGACAAAUAAGAUGGUGUGCUCACCUUCGGCCAGAGAUGAACAAUGGCGGCGGAAAAGCUCGUCGGAGUUGGAGAAGACGACGGAGCCGAUAUCGGAUUCACGCAAUCCACCACACCACGGCGUAGAGCUCGAAGAGAGGAACUCCAUGGUGGUGUCGGUUUUCACCGGAAG